RNAcentral lists this long non-coding RNA (442 nucleotides) under Physcomitrium patens. RNAcentral's name for it is "long non-coding RNA (PPAT_LNC013596)". The record is from RNAcentral. Lineage: Eukaryota; Viridiplantae; Streptophyta; Bryopsida; Funariales; Funariaceae.
AAGCACAUCUAUUCUAAACAAAAAGAGGGUUUUGAGGAGAAAAUAAGACCCUUAUUAAGAAUUAUACAAGAUUCGAAGGGCAUGGUCUGUAUUGUAGCUGGACAAAUUUGUUUUCUAAUAUGUUUUCAUCUUGACAACAAUACAUGUCAUUUUGUAGUUGCAUCAUUUCUUUGGAUAAUAUUAAGUAAUGUACUUAGUUUCUCCAUAAUAUAAAUAUAGUCUUUCUUAACGACGAUGAAUCUUUUCUUAAUUAGUAAUAAGUUUAAAAUAUAAUACAUCAAUUUGUAUAUCUUCUACUUCAAAUAUUUAGAUUGAAAAGUCGUUGGUAUCAUCAUUGAAUUAUAAUGACGUUAAGGUUCUCUUAUAGGAUUCUCAUAUCAAAACUCAAAAAGCCAAUUAUCACAUUUCAUAGCAAAGUCAAUUGCUUGACUCAAUGUUUGAA